This is a non-coding RNA of Sesamum indicum (sesame), 473 nucleotides long. The record is from RefSeq and is a predicted model, not a curated record. Lineage: Eukaryota; Viridiplantae; Streptophyta; Magnoliopsida; Lamiales; Pedaliaceae.
GACGCUGAACGUCAGGGUAUGGCCAGUCGCAAGGCACGUUAGAACAUUGAUUUUGCUUGUUUCCAAAUGCCCAAUACUCUCCGUGCUCUCUAUUGAUUUUGUGAUGCCACAAGGAAGAAUUAUUAACCGGGGGAAUGGGGGAUGUGCAGCAGAUUAUGGUGUGGGAGAUUUUGGUGGCUUAAACGAUGUUAGAAUAGAGAAUUUUGGAGGAAAUGUGACAGAAAUGGCGCUUGUGAGGCAUUUGCUGGCUAGAACACCUCAUUUACAUAUAAUGAGGAUUGAGAUGAACCCUCUUCUGGACGACAUUGAUGCAGACUUGAAGAUCCAUCAGAUACUUGAAUAUUGGAGAGCUUCUCCAAGAGCUAAUAUCAUUUUUGACUAAUGUCAUGUAGUCAUUGCAACAGUGUGGUGGAAGACUGAAGCGUCAACACAAGUUGUGUUUGGAGUUGAUGAUGUUUGGGAUUGGUUGUAUG